UCAGAAAUUUUUCUUGACAAAGACAGUGCAAGAAAGGACAUGGAAUCCGGAGUUAAAAACUGUUUGUUUUAGAAUA
This 76-nucleotide transfer RNA is filed under the name Escherichia coli. Its description in RNAcentral is "tRNA-Thr". Lineage: Bacteria; Pseudomonadati; Pseudomonadota; Gammaproteobacteria; Enterobacterales; Enterobacteriaceae. The record is from RNAcentral.